This 96-nucleotide transfer RNA is filed under the name Tengunoibacter tsumagoiensis. Its description in RNAcentral is "tRNA-Arg". Lineage: Bacteria; Bacillati; Chloroflexota; Ktedonobacteria; Ktedonobacterales; Dictyobacteraceae. The record is from RNAcentral.
GCCGUGGUUGUCUGGGUGGCAACAGAUGAUGCAGUUGCGGUUGGCGUUGGCACAACAACUGGUGUGGGAGUUGCCGUUGGGCUCGGCGUCACCGUC